GCAGUGGUGAUUUAGUGGUAGAAUUCUCGCCUUAGAAGCAGGAAACCCAGAUUGGAGUCCCAGCCAAUGCG
This 71-nucleotide transfer RNA is filed under the name Loxodonta africana (African savanna elephant). It matches the Rfam family "tRNA". From Rfam's summary of the family: Transfer RNA (tRNA) molecules are approximately 80 nucleotides in length. The record is from Rfam by way of RNAcentral. Lineage: Eukaryota; Metazoa; Chordata; Mammalia; Proboscidea; Elephantidae.